CCGUGCCUGUAGUUCCCGGCGGCUCCUUUUAAAAAGGGGGGUUCGUUUGGGGCUACAACCGGCCCAACCGUGUCUAUCUGUACCUGUUGCUUCGGCGGGCCUGCGGGCUUGCUCGCUGCCGGGAGCCUCUAAAGCUCCGGGCUCGUGCCCGCCGAAGACACCUAGAACUUCUGGUGAAUUUAGCGGUCUGAGUGGACUUUAUAAUCGUUA
RNAcentral lists this unclassified non-coding RNA (210 nucleotides) under uncultured Spiromastix. RNAcentral's name for it is "sequence contains ITS1". The record is from RNAcentral. Lineage: Eukaryota; Fungi; Ascomycota; Eurotiomycetes; Onygenales; Onygenaceae.